This 459-nucleotide long non-coding RNA is filed under the name Numida meleagris (helmeted guineafowl). RNAcentral's name for it is "lncRNA (ENSNMEG00000014325.1)". Lineage: Eukaryota; Metazoa; Chordata; Aves; Galliformes; Numididae. The record is from RNAcentral.
GAAUUAUUUUAUGUAGCCCGUGCAAAGAAUGUGGGGCAGUACUCAUAGCCAGCAUUAUCUCAGAUUACAUCUUAAAGAUGUGGCACAAGAAAUACCUGUGUGUGGCAUGCAGAGCAGUUGCUGCAAGGAGGAAGAUGAAGAUAAGAAUCUAUUUGAGAAUUCAGAGUUAUAGAAGUAAUGGUAUCCCACACAAGAUCUGCAGAUGGAGAUUCUGUCAGGUCUGCAAUCUGCUACAAAUUGAUUCUGAAAAGAAGAUGCUGGUUUCUAGUAAGCAUGUCACCAAGGUGAAUAUUUGCUCCAGAAAAAUCCUGAGGACUUUGAACUGUGUUUGCCUAGCAUUACAGAUCCAUGGAAUAAAGGGGAAAAAGAAACUUGUGGGCAUGAAAAUGAACCUUCUGUUUAUGAUCUUUUGCUAGAUUUCAUCCUCUAAAUAUCAGAUACUUUAUUUUUACUUCACUA